This 461-nucleotide ribosomal RNA is filed under the name uncultured bacterium. Its description in RNAcentral is "bacterial SSU rRNA". It matches the Rfam family "Bacterial small subunit ribosomal RNA", at positions 30 to 518 of the family's 1533-position model. The record is from RNAcentral.
UGAACGCUGGCGGCGUGCCUAACACAUGCAAGUCGAGCGAUUCUCCUCGGAGAAGAGCGGCGGACGGGUGAGUAACGCGUGGGUAACCUGCCUCAUACACAUGGAUAACAUACCGAAGGUAUGCUAAUACAGGAUAAUAUAAGAGAUUCACAUGGAGUUUCUUAUCAAAGCUCCGGCGGUAUGAGAUGGACCCGCGUCUGAUUAGCUAGUUGGUAAGGUGACGGCUUACCAAGGCGACGAUCAGUAGCCGACCUGAGAGGGUGAUCGGCCACAUUGGAACUGAGACACGGUCCAAACUCCUACGGGAGGCAGCAGUGGGGAAUAUUGCACAAUGGGCGAAAGCCUGAUGCAGCAACGCCGCGUGAGUGAUGAAGGCCUUCGGGUCGUAAAACUCUGUCCUCAAGGAAGAUAAUGACGGUACUUGAGGAGGAAGCCCCGGCUAACUACGUGCCAGCCGCUGC